CCUACGUGGGGCAGCAGUGAGGAAUAUUGGUCAAUGGGCGCGAGCCUGAACCAGCCAAGUAGCGUGAAGGAUGACUGCCCUCUGGGUUUUAAACUUCUUUUAUAUGGGAAUAAAGUGUUCCACGUGUGCCAUUUUGUAUGUACCGUAUGAAUAAGGAUCGGCUAACUCCGGGCCAGCAGCCGCGGUAAUACGGAGGAUCCGAGCGUUAUCCGGAUUUAUUGUGUUUAAAGGGAGAGUAGGGGGAUUGUUAAGUCAGUUGUGAAAGUUUGCGGCUCAACCGUAAAAUUGCAGUUGAAACUGGCAGUCUUGAGUACAGUAGAGGUGGGCGGAAGUCGUGGUGUAGCGGUGAAAUGCUUAGAUAUCACGAAGAACUACGAUUGCGAAGGCAGCUAACUGGACUGCAACUGACACUGAUGCGCGAAAGUGUGGGUAUCAAACAGGAUUAGAUACCCGAGUAGUC
Molecule: ribosomal RNA, 460 nt
Filed under: uncultured bacterium
Lineage: Bacteria
Description: partial 16S ribosomal RNA
Rfam family: Bacterial small subunit ribosomal RNA
Source: RNAcentral